GUUGGACGUAGCUUAAUUGGUAGAGCCUCUGGUUGUGACCCAGAAAGAUGCGGGAUCGUAGCCCGUCGUCCACCCCA
This 77-nucleotide transfer RNA is filed under the name Muribaculaceae bacterium. RNAcentral's name for it is "tRNA-His". It matches the Rfam family "tRNA". From Rfam's summary of the family: Transfer RNA (tRNA) molecules are approximately 80 nucleotides in length. Their secondary structure includes four short double-helical elements and three loops (D, anti-codon, and T loops). The record is from RNAcentral. Lineage: Bacteria; Pseudomonadati; Bacteroidota; Bacteroidia; Bacteroidales; Muribaculaceae.